AACGAACGCUGGCGGCAUGCCUAACACAUGCAAGUCGAACGAGACCUUCGGGUCUAGUGGCGCACGGGUGCGUAACGCGUGGGAACCUGCCCUUAGGUUCGGAAUAACUCCCCGAAAGGGGUGCUAAUACCGGAUAAUUUCUUCGGACCAAAGAUUUAUCGCCUUUGGAUGGGCCCGCGUUGGAUUCGCUAGUUGGUAGGGUAAAAGCCUACCAAGGCGACGAUCCAUAGCUGGUCUGAGAGGAUGAUCAGCCACACUGGGACUGAGACACGGCCCAGACUCCUACGGGAGGCAGCAGUGGGGAAUAUUGGACAAUGGGCGAAAGCCUGAUCAAGCAAUGCCGCGUGAGUGAUGAAGGCCUUAGGGUUGUAAAGCUCUUUUACCCGGGAUGAUAAUGACAGUACCGGGAGAAUAAGCGCCGGCUAACUCCGUG
This 433-nucleotide ribosomal RNA is filed under the name uncultured bacterium. Its description in RNAcentral is "partial 16S ribosomal RNA". It matches the Rfam family "Bacterial small subunit ribosomal RNA", at positions 29 to 507 of the family's 1533-position model. The record is from RNAcentral.